This 252-nucleotide ribosomal RNA is filed under the name uncultured bacterium. RNAcentral's name for it is "partial 16S ribosomal RNA". It matches the Rfam family "Bacterial small subunit ribosomal RNA", at positions 524 to 776 of the family's 1533-position model. The record is from RNAcentral.
UACGGAGGAUGCGAGCGUUAUCCGGAUUUAUUGGGUUUAAAGGGUGCGUAGGCGGGCUGUUAAGUCAGCGGUAAAAGCCCGGGGCUCAACCCCGGCGAGCCGUUGAAACUGGCUGUCUUGAGAUGUCGAGAGGUAUGCGGAAUGCGCAGUGUAGCGGUGAAAUGCUUAGAUAUUGCGCAGAACUCCGAUUGCGAAGGCAGCCUUCCGGCGCCCUACUGACGCUGAGGCACGAAAGUGUGGGGAUCGAACAGG